UACUCCUACGGGAGGCAGCAGUGGGGAAUAUUGCACAAUGGGCGAAAGCCUGAUGCAGCAACGCCGCGUGAAGGAUGAAGGGUUUCGGCUCGUAAACUUCUAUCAAUAGGGACGAAAAAAAUGACGGUACCUAAAUAAGAAGCCCCGGCUAAUCAUC
RNAcentral lists this ribosomal RNA (157 nucleotides) under uncultured bacterium. RNAcentral describes it as "partial 16S ribosomal RNA". It matches the Rfam family "Bacterial small subunit ribosomal RNA", at positions 334 to 505 of the family's 1533-position model. The record is from RNAcentral.